CUACUCUUGGACAGCCUUCUGAAAGGAAGAUUAAUACAAGAUGGCAUCAUGAGUCCGCAUGUUCACAUGAUUAAAGGUAUUCCGGUAGACGAUGGGGAUGCGUUCCAUUAGAUAGUAGGCGGGGUAACGGCCCACCUAGUCUUCGAUGGAUAGGGGUUCUGAGAGGAAGGUCCCCCACAUUGGAACUGAGACACGGUCCAAACUCCUACGGGAGGCAGCAGUGAGGAAUAUUGGUCAAUGGGCGAGAGCCUGAACCAGCCAAGUAGCGUGAAGGAUGACUGCCCUAUGGGUUGUAAACUUCUUUUAUAAAGGAAUAAAGUCGGGUAUGGAUACCCGUUUGCAUGUACUUUAUGAAUAAGGAUCGGCUAACUCCGUGCCAGCAGCCGCGGUAAUACGGAGGAUCCGAGCGUUAUCCGGAUUUAUUGGGUUUAAAGGGAGCGUAGAUGGAUGUUUAAGUCAGUUGUGAAAGUUUGCGGCUCAACCGUAAAAUUGCAGUUGAUACUGGAUAUCUUGAGUGCAGUUGAGGCAGGCGGAAUUCGUGGUGUAGCGGUGAAAUGCUUAGAUAUCACGAAGAACUCCGAUUGCGAAGGCAGCCUGCUAAGCUGCAACUGACAUUGAGGCUCGAAAGUGUGGGUAUCAAACAGGAUUAGAUACCCUGGUAGUCCACACGGUAAACGAUGAAUACUCGCUGUUUGCGAUAUACUGCAAGCGGCCAAGCGAAAGCGUUAAGUAUUCCACCUGGGGAGUACGCCGGCAACGGUGAAACUCAAAGGAAUUGACGGGGGCCCGCACAAGCGGAGGAACAUGUGGUUUAAUUCGAUGAUACGCGAGGAACCUUACCCGGGCUUAAAUUGCAGAUGAAUUACGGUGAAAGCCGUAAGCCGCAAGGCAUCUGUGAAGGUGCUGCAUGGUUGUCGUCAGCUCGUGCCGUGAGGUGUCGGCUUAAGUGCCAUAACGAGCGCAACCCUUGUUGUCAGUUACUAACAGGUUCCGCUGAGGACUCUGACAAGACUGCCAUCGUAAGAUGUGAGGAAGGUGGGGAUGACGUCAAAUCAGCACGGCCCUUACGUCCGGGGCUACACACGUGUUACAAUGGGGGGUACAGAGGGCCGCUACCACGCGAGUGGAUGCCAAUCCCCAAAACCUCUCUCAGUUCGGACUGGAGUCUGCAACCCGACUCCACGAAGCUGGAUUCGCUAGUAAUCGCGCAUCAGCCACGGCGCGGUGAAUACGUUCCCGGGCCUUGUACACACCGCCCGUCAAGCCAUGGGAGCCGGGGGUACCUGAAGUGCGUAACCGCGAGGAGCGCCCUAGGGUAAAACUGGUGACUGGGGCUAAGUCGUAACAAGGUAGCCGUACCGGAAGGUGCGGCUG
This 1374-nucleotide ribosomal RNA is filed under the name human gut metagenome. RNAcentral describes it as "bacterial SSU rRNA". It matches the Rfam family "Bacterial small subunit ribosomal RNA". The record is from RNAcentral.